AUCACCUUCAUGAGCGCAUCAGUGAACACCAGUCUAAGGAAGACAUCUCUGAACGUAAUUUUGGAGAUUUUGAUGAGUUCCAUUGAAACAAGGAGGAAUGUGAUGUCCAGUAUCAGUUCUGCAGACCCAAGGACAAAGAAAAUUCUGUGAUAAACUCAUCCAGUGUGACUGUAAUGAUACAAGACACCGGACUUUCAAAUCAACAAUUGUUUCAAAAGACUCCUACUGGAUUCCUGCUAGUGAUGGGAGAAAAUUAUCAUUCUGCUAGUUAAUCUGUAGCCAGAGAUGAUUAAGGAGGUCAUUAAAGGAAAACAAGCUGCCCACCAUGCUGAUGCCUGGUUGUUCAGAUCGUUGAGGUGGUGUAGAGAUGACGCACACUGGCUCAGUUUACCCACAUUUGGAUCUACGGACCUGCAAGUCCUCUGUCAUGACACACCAGCCCUGGGAUAUCACAUAAGCUACAGGUCAGACGCUGCUUUCCAGACAGAAUUAUGGAGAAGACAACCAUCAUUUUGGAGCUAUAGAUAGUGGAUUUCAAGAGAGUACCAAGGUUGCUACUCCAUAAUGGCCAGAAGAGCAAGCCAAAAACAUCAGAGUAAACACAGAAACCUCACAUCUCAGGGAGGUUUGCUUAACAAACAUAUCAAGACCUGGGAUACCUGGAAAACUGCAGAUGAAAAGAAUAUGUCUAAGAUCCUGUUAACAGCAGAACUUAGACUGCUAGCCCUGCUGGAAAUUUUCCAUGCUCUUCAUUCGUUCUCCUGUAUUUCCUAACGCCAAUAAAAGAGGAGAUCCCUGAGGACA
Molecule: long non-coding RNA, 804 nt
Filed under: Homo sapiens (human)
Lineage: Eukaryota; Metazoa; Chordata; Mammalia; Primates; Hominidae
Description: HSALNT0371231
Source: RNAcentral